Dendrobium catenatum is the source of this 107-nucleotide small nucleolar RNA. NCBI's taxonomy places the organism in Eukaryota, Viridiplantae, Streptophyta, Magnoliopsida, Asparagales, Orchidaceae. The record is from RefSeq and is a predicted model, not a curated record.
AAUGCAUGAUGAGGGUAUUUUCCGAGCAUUUCCUUAAAUCUUUCCCAACUCUCAUAAUUGGAUUCUACUUCAAAUUGAGUAAAAGAACUUAUAUCAUUUCUAUGUAU